AUUUUUGCCCAUCUUUUAACUCUGCAUAAAAUAGGCCAUAUUGUUUAAGAACAAUUUUCUUUAAGCCUGUUUAAUAGCCAUGUUACAUUGCUAAAGAAUCGGAAGGGAGUCCUGGUUCAUCUCAGCACUCAUGGGAUAGAGUCCUUUCAAAGGCAGUGCACGUCAGACUCCAUGAAAGACCGGGGCGAAGCACAGUCUCCUCAGAUUCUCAGGAGGUCGUUCCUGCUUUAGUCUGAACGGUUUCGGUGGUGCCAAGUGGACUCUGAUUUCAUCAGCUCUGGGUAGAGCCUAAACGCUAUCCUCUGGGUCAUUCCACACUGCAGGUAGAUCUGCUUGCUUUACUAGUUCUUAUUCCUUCAAAAUGUUAGCAGACUCAGGCUCAGCCUUGCAUUUCCAAGGCAUGGCAGCUGCAGGGAAUCGAAUCAGGCAGGUGUUUUCGAGACCUGAGGAGAGGGCCAAGUGUUUAGGGAUGAGUGAGGCCUCUGGAGUCUGAAGGCACUGGUGAGCUGUCUUCCCUUACGGUAUUUUACGUCCUUGCAAAGUCUACCUUUGCAAGCUGCACCAGCCGUUUUGUUCACUUGUCCUGGUAUUAAAAGCAGGAGCUCCGUUCCCUGUGUGCAUUUGCCUCUAUGAUGGCUUGGCUUACAGAAGGAAUCGUUGAGUUAUAAAGAAAUUGUCUUUGCUGACUUCACGGGGUGGUGUUCUGUCAUCUUCGGCGUGAACUUUGGUUAAUGAAGGAAGCCUGCAGCUGGCAGGUGUAAUUGCUCCUGUCACUCUGAGAAAGAGGAGAGCACGCGAGACCCACUUCCCACAAGUUGAGCUUGGGGAGCAGUCAUGCAGCUAGGACCUCACGGGCAUGGGAAACGGUUGCCCAGGUCACUGCAAAGGGUUUGGAAAGGAAGAAAUGAUUUCUAACUGUACAUGAGCACCUCUGUACCAGGAGUGUUUCUGUCAUGUGGGUACAGUGUUGGUCUUCUUUUCAGCAUCAUUCCUGUCUCUAAUAGAAAGUGCAUAUUCAAAAUGGUCUUCACCAGUGGGUCUGCUCACUCGCUACUGAAAGUCUCUCUAGAUGAAUAUGUUUGUUUAUAGUCAGUAAUUAUUUUAUAUUUACUAGUUCUUUUUUAAAAAGUUUUCCUAGUGUUAAUAUAAUCAUGUGAAGAAAGCCCAAUGGAAUUCAUAUUAUUUUAUUGUUUUGGCUUUUACUUGGGUGUUUUUUUGUCAAAGGAAAAAAAAAAAAUCCCAAAUAGUGGCUCUAGAUGUAGAUUUACUGUAGAAAGUAAUUACGGAAACCUGUUUAUUCCAGAUUGGAAAGAAGGUAUAGACAGAAACGAGUUGGGAAGAGGAAAUGCACUUGUGGAUCGGCUCCUCAGCUCACCGAGCAGGACGCGUGCCUCGGGCAGCAGUGGUGCUGGCUUCCCGGAGUGUGCGCCGCUUACACGAGGCAGAAUGUGGGUGCUGAGGGGCCUUGGCUUUUUCUUUGGCUGUCUGUGGGGAGAGUGGGGGACAGUUUCCACCCUGGGAUCUCUUCUCAAAGUGUUAUAAAGAAGCUCCAUUGUCCCAUUUUGGGGGAUUCAAGUUUGCUACAUUUUUUAGCCUGACAAUACUGGUAAGUGUUGUCUUAGUGGGAGUCCUGGAAACUUCUGGAAUCUGUAGAUGAAGCGACAGAUGCUUCUCGAGUAACUAGCAGUGACAGCUGUCUGUCACUCCCUCAUUUGCACUUUGUCUGAGUACUUUUCACCCUGUUUUAAGUGUGAGUAAGCCUCUUUAUGUUCUGGCGAAUGGCAUACAGAAGCAGCUUGUUGUAGCAGUUCACUUUACACGGUGGCUCUGUCCCUGGCUCCAGGCUCCAGUCCAUCCUUCUACAUCUGCAGAGUGCUUUCUGUACUGUGUGAUGCAGUAUGACUUUAUGAAAGGAACAGAGCUUUCUUCCUUGGAAAUACCUGUUGGGAUAGCAUUUGCCUCACAGAGCAGUGUUCCCCCCCCCCCCACCUAUGCCAGAUAAAGGAUACUUUUGCAAGCGUGAGGCAUCUCUUCAGAGCUCUCUUCCAGUGUUGGACAGGUGUUCUGGGGGCUUGCUCCAAUCGCUUUAAAUAUCCUCCCAGUUGCCACUUAGUGUGACAUGGCAGGGAUGCCCAUUUCUUCCCUGGUGUCUCCCAGUACUGUCUGAUUUAGAAUGCUCUGUGUGGCAUCCUCUCUUGACAGGCUGUGAUUUCACCCCGUAGGUACCACAAAGAAAGCCUUUCAAGUGUUCUCCUGACUCCGUAGGCCAUUUCCGUAUCCUCAAUAUGGUCAAAUUUUCCCACUUCCCAGUGAUUGGGUGGCCUGGUUGGCUCUCAUGGAACUACACAUGUCCUUGUGCUAUAGGCAAUAACUGUGUAAUCAUGUGUGAGUCUGUCUUCCUUAAUCAUUUUCAGGGCAAAUGGCUUUAAAAAAAUAUUUAAGGGACACAUAAAGAUUAGAGCAAUUAUGAGGGGUUUGUUGGAGCAGGAGACUAAUUUGUAAAACUCAUCGCCUUGAGUCAGCAGAGAGGGAGGAGGUGAAGUCACUGCUCCCAUCUGCCAAUGACUGUCAUGUUUGAGCUUUUGUUUUGUGUUUUCUAUGUUAGCCUUACUCUGAAUACCUACCUAUCAUUUAAAUAUUUAAAUGUAUUUUCUCUCCCUUCUUCUUUUUGUAAAUAAGGGAACAAAGCAAUCAAACACCUUCUGGGGGAUCCUAGCUUGAGGAUUUUAUCAACCAUUUCAAAUGUAAAUGUGAAAAUCAGUCCCUGUAGGAAACUCGCAUCCGAAUUUCUGUUUGUUGCAGUUGAAAAUGUAAAUAAGAUGCUGUAAGACCCUCCUUAAGGUCUAAUGCUAACUGGGCAGUAGCAGGUUGGUUGCCCUAUUUUUAUUAGGUUUUGAAGGUUUUCAUUUUCUUUCUUUCCUAAAUGUACAGUAGAAUGGUGUCCGUGUGUAAGUGUCGACUGUAGUGGGGUUUGUCCAGCAAGCCUGAACUUUAUACUUUGAAAUAAAUGACUGAGUUUUUAACAUUCUGAGU
This 3033-nucleotide long non-coding RNA is filed under the name Mus musculus (house mouse). RNAcentral describes it as "long non-coding RNA chr6:136607822-136610855". The record is from RNAcentral. Lineage: Eukaryota; Metazoa; Chordata; Mammalia; Rodentia; Muridae.